This 403-nucleotide ribosomal RNA is filed under the name uncultured bacterium. RNAcentral describes it as "bacterial SSU rRNA". It matches the Rfam family "Bacterial small subunit ribosomal RNA", at positions 29 to 418 of the family's 1533-position model. The record is from RNAcentral.
AACGAACGCUGGCGGUAUGCCUAACACAUGCAAGUCGCACGAGAAAGUACUUCGGUAUGAGUAGAGUGGCGCACGGGUGAGUAACACGUAGGUGACCUUCCGAAUAGUGGGGGAUAACUCGGAGAAGUCCGGGCUAAUACCGCGUAUGUACGACAAAUCUGAGAGUAGUCGUAGAAAGAAUGCCUCUACUUGUAAGCAUUCGCUAAUCGAUGGGCCUGCGGAGCAUUAGCUAGUUGGUGGGGUAAAGGCCCACCAAGGCGACGAUCUGUAGCGGGUCUGAGAGGAUGAUCCGCCACACUGGGACUGAGACACGGCCCAGACUCCUACGGGAGGCAGCAGUGGGGAAUUUUGGACAAUGGGCGCAAGCCUGAUCCAGCCAUGCCGCGUGCGGGACGAAGGCCUU